CUUAAGCAUAUCAAUAAGCGGAGGAAAAGAAACCAACAGGGAUUGCCCUAGUAACGGCGAGUGAAGCGGCAACAGCUCAAAUUUGAAAUCUGGCUCUUUCAGGGUCCGAGUUGUAAUUUGCAGAGGGCGCUUUGGCGUUGGCAGCGGUCCAAGUUCUUUGGAACAGGACGUCACAGAGGGUGAGAAUCCCGUACGUGGUCGCUAUCCUUCGCCGUGUAAAGCCCCUUCGACGAGUCGAGUUGUUUGGGAAUGCAGCUCUAAAUGGGAGGUAAAUUUCUUCUAAAGCUAAAUACUGGCCAGAGACCGAUAGCGCACAAGUAGAGUGAUCGAAAGAUGAAAAGCACUUUGGAAAGAGAGUCAAAUAGCACGUGAAAUUGUUGAAAGGGAAGCGCUUGCAGCCAGACUUGCCUGUAGUUGCUUAUCUGGACUUUUGUCCAGUGCACUCUUCUGCGGGCAGGCCAGCAUCAGUUUGGGCGGUUGGAUAAAGGUCUCUGUCAUGUACCUCCUUUCGGGGAGGCCUUAUAGGGGAGACGACAUGCAACCAGCCUGGACUGAGGUCCGCGCAUCUGCUAGGAUGCUGGCGUAAUGGCUGUAAGCGGCCCGUCUUGAAACACGGACCAAGGAGUCUAACAUCUAUGCGAGUGUUUGGGUGUCAAGCCCAGACGCGUAAUGAAAGUGAACGGAGGUGGGAACCUUUUAGGUGCACCAUCGACCGAUCCUGAUGUCUUCGGAAGGAUUUGAGUAAGAGCAUGGCUGUUGGGACCCGAAAGAUGGUGAACUAUGCUUGAAUAGGGUGAAGCCAGAGGAAACUCUGGUGGAGGCUCGCAGCGGUUCUGACGUGCAAAUCGAUCGUCAAAUUUGGGCAUAGGGGCGAAAGACUAAUCGAACUAUCUAGUAGCUGGUUCCUGCCGAAGU
Molecule: ribosomal RNA, 915 nt
Filed under: Kalmusia utahensis
Lineage: Eukaryota; Fungi; Ascomycota; Dothideomycetes; Pleosporales; Didymosphaeriaceae
Description: LSU rRNA
Rfam family: Eukaryotic large subunit ribosomal RNA
Source: RNAcentral